AUUGUCGUUUCCGAAUCAGGCCUCGCUGGCCAGGAUUCGGGCUUAUUUCCUCGUAUCCUGGCCUGCAAGUGCACUCAUUCGGACGACCUU
RNAcentral lists this microRNA precursor (90 nucleotides) under Capitella teleta. RNAcentral describes it as "microRNA cte-mir-2689 precursor". The record is from miRBase by way of RNAcentral. Lineage: Eukaryota; Metazoa; Annelida; Polychaeta; Capitellidae.